UACAGAGGGUGCGAGCGUUAAUCGGAAUUACUGGGCGUAAAGCGUGCGUAGACGGUUAUUUAAGUCGGGUGUGAAAGCCCCGGGCUCAACCUGGGAAUUGCAUUCGAGACUGAAUAGCUAGAGGUAGGUAGGGGAAAGUGGAAUUCCUGGUGUAGCGGUGAAAUGCGCAGAUAUCAGGAGGAACACCGGUGGCGAAGGCGGCUUUCUGGGCCUUACCUGACGCUGAGGAGCGAAAGCUGGGGGAGCGAACAGG
This 253-nucleotide ribosomal RNA is filed under the name uncultured bacterium. Its description in RNAcentral is "partial 16S ribosomal RNA". It matches the Rfam family "Bacterial small subunit ribosomal RNA", at positions 524 to 776 of the family's 1533-position model. The record is from RNAcentral.